This 465-nucleotide ribosomal RNA is filed under the name Vreelandella stevensii. Its description in RNAcentral is "partial 16S ribosomal RNA". It matches the Rfam family "Bacterial small subunit ribosomal RNA", at positions 338 to 795 of the family's 1533-position model. The record is from RNAcentral. Lineage: Bacteria; Pseudomonadati; Pseudomonadota; Gammaproteobacteria; Oceanospirillales; Halomonadaceae.
CCUACGGGAGGCUGCAGUGGGGAAUAUUGGACAAUGGGCGAAAGCCUGAUCCAGCCAUGCCGCGUGUGUGAAGAAGGCCUUCGGGUUGUAAAGCACUUUCAGUGGGGAAGAAAGCCUUGGGGCUAAUACCCUCGAGGAAGGACAUCACCCACAGAAGAAGCACCGGCUAACUCCGUGCCAGCAGCCGCGGUAAUACGGAGGGUGCGAGCGUUAAUCGGAAUUACUGGGCGUAAAGCGCGCGUAGGCGGUCUGAUAAGCCGGUUGUGAAAGCCCCGGGCUCAACCUGGGAACGGCAUCCGGAACUGUCAGGCUAGAGUGCAGGAGAGGAGGGUAGAAUUCCUGGUGUAGCGGUGAAAUGCGUAGAGAUCGGGAGGAAUACCAGUGGCGAAGGCGGCCUUCUGGACUGACACUGACGCUGAGGUGCGAAAGCGUGGGUAGCAAACAGGAUUAGAUACCCCGGUAGUC